GCAGUCGAGCGGUAGCACAGAGAGCUUGCUCUCGGGUGACGAGCGGCGGACGGGUGAGUAAUGUCUGGGAAACUGCCUGAUGGAGGGGGAUAACUACUGGAAACGGUAGCUAAUACCGCAUAACGUCGCAAGACCAAAGUGGGGGACCUUCGGGCCUCAUGCCAUCAGAUGUGCCCAGAUGGGAUUAGCUAGUAGGUGGGGUAAUGGCUCACCUAGGCGACGAUCCCUAGCUGGUCUGAGAGGAUGACCAGCCACACUGGAACUGAGACACGGUCCAGACUCCUACGGGAGGCAGCAGUGGGGAAUAUUGCACAAUGGGCGCAAGCCUGAUGCAGCCAUGCCGCGUGUAUGAAGAAGGCCUUCGGGUUGUAAAGUACUUUCAGCGAGGAGGAAGGCAUUAAGGUUAAUAACCUUGGUGAUUGACGUUACUCGCAGAAGAAGCACCGGCUAACUCCGUGCCAGCAGCCGCGGUAAUACGGAGGGUGCAAGCGUUAAUCGGAAUUACUGGGCGUAAAGCGCACGCAGGCGGUCUGUCAAGUCGGAUGUGAAAUCCCCGGGCUCAACCUGGGAACUGCAUUCGAAACUGGCAGGCUAGAGUCUUGUAGAGGGGGGUAGAAUUCCAGGUGUAGCGGUGAAAUGCGUAGAGAUCUGGAGGAAUACCGGUGGCGAAGGCGGCCCCCUGGACAAAGACUGACGCUCAGGUGCGAAAGCGUGGGGAGCAAACAGGAUUAGAUACCCUGGUAGUCCACGCCGUAAACGAUGUCGACUUGGAGGUUGUGCCCUUGAGGCGUGGCUUCCGGAGCUAACGCGUUAAGUCGACCGCCUGGGGAGUACGGCCGCAAGGUUAAAACUCAAAUGAAUUGACGGGGGCCCGCACAAGCGGUGGAGCAUGUGGUUUAAUUCGAUGCAACGCGAAGAACCUUACCUACUCUUGACAUCCAGAGAACUUAGCAGAGAUGCUUUGGUGCCUUCGGGAACUCUGAGACAGGUGCUGCAUGGCUGUCGUCAGCUCGUGUUGUGAAAUGUUGGGUUAAGUCCCGCAACGAGCGCAACCCUUAUCCUUUGUUGCCAGCGGUUCGGCCGGGAACUCAAAGGAGACUGCCAGUGAUAAACUGGAGGAAGGUGGGGAUGACGUCAAGUCAUCAUGGCCCUUACGAGUAGGGCUACACACGUGCUACAAUGGCAUAUACAAAGAGAAGCGACCUCGCGAGAGCAAGCGGACCUCAUAAAGUAUGUCGUAGUCCGGAUUGGAGUCUGCAACUCGACUCCAUGAAGUCGGAAUCGCUAGUAAUCGUAGAUCAGAAUGCUACGGUGAAUACGUUCCCGGGCCUUGUACACACCGCCCGUCACACCAUGGGAGUGGGUUGCAAAAGAAGUAGGUAGCUUAACCUUCGGGAGGGCG
Molecule: ribosomal RNA, 1402 nt
Filed under: Klebsiella aerogenes
Lineage: Bacteria; Pseudomonadati; Pseudomonadota; Gammaproteobacteria; Enterobacterales; Enterobacteriaceae
Description: bacterial SSU rRNA
Rfam family: Bacterial small subunit ribosomal RNA
Source: RNAcentral